This is a non-coding RNA of Oncorhynchus mykiss (rainbow trout), 2935 nucleotides long. The record is from RefSeq and is a predicted model, not a curated record. NCBI's taxonomy places the organism in Eukaryota, Metazoa, Chordata, Actinopteri, Salmoniformes, Salmonidae.
GAGAACAAGCUGCAUGCAUAUCUCACCAAACUUAUCCUAGCAGAGAAGGAGAGCACACCUUCUACAGAUGCCAUCAAGGCAAAAUGGGAGGAAGAACUAGGGACUGACAUUUCUGUGGCAGACUGGGAAGAGAGCUUGGAGUAUAUCCACACAUGCUCCAUUAAUUCCAGACAUCGUCUCAUACAAUUCAAGGUAUUACACAGAUUACACUUUUCCAAAACUAAACUGCAUAGGAUAUUUCCACAUCCCUUACAUGUGAUAAAUGUCAGGCUGCCUCUACUCCACUGCUCCACUGCUUUGCCUUAUGGUCUAGCUUCCAUGGUUAUUGGUGUGGAAUUUUUGGGAUCCUCUCUGAAGUUUUGGAGACUUCAAUAGAUAACCCGCUUCUGAUAAUCCUGGGAGUAUCUGAGUCCCUAAACGGAUUAACCAACCCCCAAAAACAACUAAUCUCGUACGGGAUAGGGAAAGAUUGAAUAUGUUCGUAAAUGAUCACCAGUCAGAUGGUCGCGGCUAGGGAUGCCAUCUGGGCCGGCAGCCUUGCGAGGGUUAACAAGUUUAAAUCUUUUACUCACAUUGGCCACGGAGAAGGAGAACCCACAGGCUUUGGUAGUGGGCCGUGUCAGUGGCACUGUAUUGUCCUCAAAGCGAGCAAAGAAGUUUUUUAAUUUGUCUGGGAGCAAGACGUUGGUGUUCGCGACUGGGCUCGUUUUCUUUUUGUAAUAUGUGAUUGACUGUAAGACCCUGCCAAAUGCGUUUCGUGUUUGAGCUGUUGAAUGGCAACUCUACUUUGUCUCUAUACUGACACUUUGCUUGUUUGAGGGAAUAGCUGCAUUGUUUGUAUUUGUUAAUGUUUCCAGUCGCCUUGCCAUGAUUAAAAGAGGUGCUUCUCUUUCAGUUUUGCGCGAAUGUGCCAUCAAUCCACGGUUUCUGUUUAGGAAAGGUUUUAAUAGUCACAGUUGGGUACGAUAUCUCUGAUGCACUUGCUAAUAAACUCGCUCACCGAGUCAACGUUAUUGUCUGAGGCUAUCUGGAACAUAUCCCAGUACACGUGAUUGCUUCAAUCUUGAAGUGUCGAAUCCGAUUAGUCAGAUCAGCAUUGGAUAGACCUGAGCAGGGGCGUUUCCUGUUUUAGUUUGUCUAUAGGCUGGGAAUCUUUAAAAAAAUGGAGUCGUGGUCAGAUUUGCCAAAGGCAGGGCUUUGCAUGCAUCGCAGAAGUUAAUGUGGCAAUGAUCCAGAAUGCUACGACCUCGUGUCACUCAUUCGAUAUGCUGAUAGAAUAUAGGGAGUCUUGUUCUCACGUUAGCUUUGUUAAAAUCCCCAGUUACAAUACAUGCAGCCUCGAUGUAUGGUUUCUAGUUUACAUAGAGACCAGUGAAGUUCUUUCAGGUUGGAGGGAUAUAUGCAACUGACUAUUUUCGAAGAGAAUUCUCUUGGAAGAUAAUGCGGUCAGCAUUUGAUUGUAAGGAAUUCUAGGUCAGGUGAACAAAAUUACUUAAGUUCCUAUAUGUUGUAGUGAUUACACCAUGAGUCGUUAAUCAUAAGGCAUACACCUCCGCCCUUCACUAUAUCACAGUAAUAAGGUGUAGUUAAAUAAGUUCUAGUUAAUCAAAUCACUUUCUCUACUUCCCGUCCCAGGUCAUUACCUGGACCAGAAGAGGCUAAAACAGGGCCUGUACCGCCACCCAUGGGAUGACAUCUCCUAUGUGCUUCCUGAACACAUGUCAAUGUAACUGAUGACAGCGAGUCGGCACCUCUGGAUGUCAACACUCGGAUAUGACGGGAAGCAUUUUCACCUUAUCACUUCAACAACCUCUGCCUUUGGGCAGGGUAAAUCCAGAGGUGGGGGGGAUAUGGGGGAAGAGGGGAGCGUUAGUUUUAUUAGGUCACUAAAGAAAAAGGGAAUAAUUUACGUUAUUUAAGUUAUGAGUUCAAUCGUUAACAAAAAAAAGGAGCCGAACCAAUGCAAGCUGCAGCUGUGGUCACACUAGGUGACUGGGAAAACUAGGUCACCGGUUCACAAAUGGGAUAGUGGCUUUUUGACCAUGCCACCUGGUUGUUUGGUCCAUCGCCUACUCGCUUAUAUUUUAUUUUCAUAUCUCUUACUAAACUCUCAAACGAUUAACAGUUGGUUGAGCUGUAUAAUAUAGGGCUAGCCCUGCUUUAGGCCUCUAGGGUGUGUGCUGUUGAAAGUUAGCAUGCUUUCUGGGUGACUUGGUAAUGCACAUAACAUGAACACUGGCUUGCCUAUGGAGAAGUAGUCUUGGUCGGUAAACCUGCAUCCCUCAAUGGAGUGUAAGCCUUGAACGAUCCACCGUCAUGUACAUUACAAAACCAAAGUAUUGUGUGAGGUUUUAUUUACACAUUUAAUCUAGUUUCCGACCUUAAUCCCCUUCCAAAGUUGUGUAGCCUAUUAUGGUGUGUACUCUGUGGCUGUUCAAGAUAAGGGGGCACGGUUUAACUAGCUGAAUGUUAGUGUUGAUUUGCCACUGCCUUUUUUUUUUUUUUUAGGAUCCCAAUUAUCUGUUGCAAAAGCAACAGCUACUCUUCCUGAUGUCCUUUCUCAUCCCCUCUGUCAUUGGACGAAACGAUCAUGUUAACUUUAUUUUCAUCCAUUUAGAUUUCAAGAAAUUACAAAUGUGUUAUUUUAAAAUGUUUCAAAAUAAAGGAAAAGGCAAUAAACAGUCCUACUUUUGAAGGGGUUAAUUGCUUUAAAAUGUGAGUCUUAAAUGCAUCUUUUGCGAGGGACCAUGAAGGCAGUGUAUUUUAUCUGGGAAAAUAGUGUCUGAUUUGCACGUUAUGUCUAGAUUAUUGCUACCAGUAGCCAUUUUUCUUUGUCCUCAAUGUUCUGUGACAGGCAUGUUUGUACUUCGUUUUAUUUAAAUGUGAAUUAAAAAUGCUUCUUAGUUUAUUAAAACCAAGCAUGUCUAACUUUUCA